UGGCAUCAGUAAUCAAAUAUACAUAUUUCAUUUUUAACAUGAAUCUUAGUGGUCUUCAUUACUUAUAUAUGUACACAAGUAUAAGACUCUUGACUGUCAGCGGAGUGACCGUGGGUGAAGGUACAGCUACUGAGAUGCCAAGUACCUACCAAGAAGGCGAGCGUAUGUGUGUGACUCAAUCUAGGUCCCAACUUGCCUUCGAAUCUGAAAACAUGAAGUUUAAAAACGUAAGUAUAAAACUCAAUGAGUGAACAUAUGAAGGGAACAAGCAAUCAAUAGGAAGAAUUUGGAAAUCAUGAUGCACUUGUUUCAAAAAAAUUACAAUUUAUUUAGUUUCUUACUAAAAACCCCUCAUUUCAAACUUUGAUUAAUAACUUCAUAGUGUUGCAAAAACCCAAGAUCAAUCCAUGAAGUUAAAUGGGUGAAACAAAUGUCAAAAUCAAGCAUGGUAGCAAGUUUCUCGCUGCAGCAAAGUUCAUUCUCGCUGCAGCGAAGUUCAUUCUCGUUGCAGUGAGAUUUAGGCUACCAAAACAGAAAGUUUCUCGCUGCAGUGAGAAAUAGUGUUAGUUUGCAUAUGUUUCAGUUUUUCUAUCAUAUCCCCUGUUACAGAAGUUCAAUUGACUUGAUUUUUAAACCAUUAGAAAGCGAAGAAACAAGGAUACAACUUUUAUGUUUACCACUUUUCCCAGUUCAAACGAGAAUAUUGUCAAAAUCUUCAUCAAAGUGAAAAUACUGCAUCAAAACCUGAGAGUUUCUCGCUACAACGAGAUUUAUUCUCAUUGCAGCGAGUUAUUGGCUGCCAAAAUAGAAUAUUUCUUGCUGCAGCGAGAAGUAGGGCACCUAAGUGUAAAAAAGACCUCCUUUGCACUAAAAAUCCAUUUGCUGUUGCAAUAAAUAUCAUUUUGCAAGAAAAUGGGAAAUUCUCAAGAUUCAUCAUGCCAAAUUUCACAUGCAUUACAACCAUAUACCAUAUUCAUGAACUUCUAUUUCACAAACAUAUAUAUACUUAUAUACAUAAAUAAACACCAAUACCACUAUCAUCUCACCCAACUCAUGUGCAUCCCCCCACAUCGUGCACAUAGCCAGAGUCAUCAUGUGCAUCCCCCUACAUCGUGCACAGUCAGUGCCAUCAUGUACAUCCCCCCACAUCGUGCACACAGGCACUAUCAUCAUCCAUCUCCUUCACCACAGUCAUCACCGGCAUGUUCAUCCCCCCACAUCGUGCACACGCACGGUUAUAAUUAUCACACAAUAUCAACUAUCAAUGCACAACAUAUAUAUAUAUGUAUAUAUAUAUCAACACAAUGUAGUAGUGCAUGAAUCCAUAACAGCCACAUGUCACAAUAUAAAGAUAAUUUAUCAAGGGAUUGUUCCCAAGGCACACAUUUUUAAGAAAAGUUGGAUAAAAUCAAUCAAUGUUUUGUGCAAAUAGUUUCACAUUCCCAAAACAGUUUUAAAAUGCAAGUUCACUCACCGAUAUUUGUUGAAUCCUUAAUUGACUCUAACUUUUAUUAUUGCUUCAAAUGGACAUGUGAGGCCUCAUUGGAACCUAUUUUCACACACAACAUCACAACCAACCCAAAUUUGCAUUAAUAUAAUUCCAAAAGCUAUUUCCUAAAUCAAGUUCCACUAGUUAUUCCUAACUAGCUUCCAAUUUCCAUUAAAUGGCUAUCUAUUCUUUCUACUCUAGUAACUCUAGAAAUAAAUAAACAAACCUCACUAAAUAAACAACUCACAACUCCAAUUACUAGCCAUUAUCAACAACCUAAAAUCAAUCCUCAUUCAUUACUAAUCUUGGUAUAUUUGUAGUUGAAUUCCUUCUUAAGAAUACUCAAGCUAUCAUGGAAAAUCUCUCUCUCUCUCUCUCUCUCUCUCUCUCUCUUUAAAUUUUCAACUAGUGAGAGAAAGUGCUAAAUAAAGACUUUUUAAGGGUUUUAAGGUGAGAGAGUGAAAAAGAACAAAAGGUUCUAUGAAGAAGUGCUCAAAAGCAUGAAAAUUGAAGGUAGAGAGAGAAAGUUAUGGAAGCUUUAUGGGAGGCUCCUAUGGAGAUGAAGAAACGUGAGAUGGGAAGGAAGAAGAAAUGGCUAGAAGCUGUUGGAAAUUGCUAGAGCUUUAGAUAUUUAUAUCUAAAGUUUAUCCAUUUCUCACUUAAAUUACCAAAAUGCCUUUAACAUGGUGACUUUGUCUUCCUCUCAUCCUUUGUGCAACCUUUUACUCUUUUGACACUAGGGCAAGGUCUAUAAUAGUCUAGAAAUACUCAAGUUCAUGAAAACAUAAAAAUUUAGACCCCAAGAUGCAAAAUGACCAUUUUACCCCUAUCAUGAAAAUUAUCAUUAUUUUUAUCUUCUUCAUUUAUUUACCAUCAUAAACAUCAUUUAUUCAUUCCUUAGGCUUAUUUGGAUCUUAAUAGCAUAAAAAAAAAGCCACUCAUAGGAGCUCAUCAAGAGAAAUCAUGAAAUUACCCUUGGUCUGCAUUAUUGCGUCUACUUCUAGUUACAUGUCUAUAGAGGUCGAGAUUUCACAAGUUCACUUCUGAAUUACCCUUUUAACUAUGUACUUAACCUCAAUUGGCAUCCGUAAACUUUGUUAGCCACCAUAUCAAAAUACGGGGUACUAUAGUCUCCCCCACUCAAAAUGAAUUCGUCCUCGAAUUCAAAUCGGCGUAGGGUGAAUAAUCAAAGUUCUAAAGUUCUACAACAUCACUUUCGUCGAGGAUUCUUAACAUAGAUCCUUGGUUUAUGCAUCAUAUUGAUUUUCAAUCUUAUAGAAAACACGACAAUGUCAUAGUAUAUAGUUAUGUGUACUACUCUUGUUGGAUCGAAAUAAUAUCGUUCUUUAUCUUAUGAAGAGAAUUCAAAUAUGCUAUUAAUUCUGGUCACACCUCAAUCAAAUCAUCUUUAAAUCAUCAGUCAUGCAUGUUUACCUAACCAUCCACAAUUCCUCUACCUUGAUCUUUUAUCAAACCUUCCAACACUCUAGCAUUUAUUCCACCAUUAACUAUGGGUUUAAAUGGUCAACCAACCUCUAUUCCGUUUUACAUACCUCCAUACAAAUUCCAUUCAAGCAUUUCAUAAUACAUAAGGAUCAAACACUCUUUAUUUAUUCAUAUAUAUUUAACAUCACGGAUGAUUCAAAUCCGGUAACCAUUAGUAACCAUAUUCCCAAAAACAAACUUCAAUACUUUCAUGAUCGAGUGCUCCCUAGAUAAAUCUCAACUUAUACCACAAGGCAUUUCAAUAAAUUAUGACAUUCCACAUACCCCCUUAUAAUCUUAACCAAUCUCUUUAAUCAAUAAGUCAACCUCUCAAGAUUAAAGUUGCUCAAAAUUUUCCCUUUAAAGUUCCUUUCCAAGUCUCAUUCUGAUUACUAAUCAUUUCUACAUUUCCGAUGUCAUAGCUAAUUUGCUCGUCAUCAAUCACCCACAACAUAUCUAACUUGAUAUUUCUAAAAUUUACUCCAAACAUCAGAUCUCAUGGCCUCAUUAGUUCAUCAAUCUGAAGAUCAAAUUAAACAUUUAUCUCUCCUUAAGUGCACUUUAAAAUUUAAGAAUUAUCUAGUAAGACCUUUCUGAUAUUAACUUAUUUUGUCCUUUUUACCUUAGAAAAUUAAAUCCAUAAUCAUUCAUUUUGAAUCAUGAGCUUUAUACCAAUCAACGCAGAUUUUAACACUUUUAAUUAUACGAAUUCAAAUGCACACCUUUACACAUAAGUUAUAGACUUUUUUCCCACAUCUUUAUAUAUCAAAAGUAUAUAUAUUGAAGCUAUACCAAAACUGAUACAUCAUUUUCCAUUGCCCCUUAGGAUAUUAAAUUCAUGUCAUACUUCUCUAUUUGUGUACUUCAUAAUAACCUAACAAUUUCUAGCUCACAGUUAAGCUAGUUUAUAUGCCAAGCCUCUCAGGCUAUAUUAAAACACCAAAUUUUGUCACGAUAUAAUAGAAUUUGAUGAACUCAUACCAAAAGUAUAAACACUUACUUUUAAGGUAACAGCAUUAUAGUCCACUUGUUCACUGCCAAAAUUAGUGAUAAAUUAUCUUAAUCAUUGUCUAGCUCAUAACCAUUGAUAGAAUGUCAUCAUCAAAUCAAAUUAUAACUAACUCUGCAUGAGCUUUUAUACCAAUAUGCAACAUAUAUAUCCAUACAUAUAUAUUUCCAAAAAUUUUAACUUCAAAUAGCCUUAGGCAUAUCAAGCUCAAUAAGCCGUCUGUAAAACCAAAAUAACCAACAAUCAAGUUUAAAAUCAUUUUUUCUCUUUGUUGGUUAGAUCAUGCUCAUCAUUUGUGGUGAAUACACAAAGUUGAUUUCAAUAUUCCAUUCUCAUACAAGAGUCAACCACUAAUUGGCACAAUCUCCAAACACCACGUGUUUUAUAAGUCGAUUUUCUUAGUCAAAAUUCAUAUUGUAGUAUUCCAACUUUAGGUCAUGUCUCAUUACCGAAUCUUUACUCGUAUACGAGUACUCGAAUUCUCAAAUCAUCAUCUAUUUUCUAAGUAGAUCUCUGCCAUUCCCGUAGCUUAUUUGUAAAACCCGACCCUAUAAAUACAUGUCAUGACAUACAUGCAUUGAGUAGCAUGUUAUUACGCUAGAAAAGCACCUAAGAAUAGACGAAACCUGAUAUUGUACUUAACGGUACACUUAAAUUGAUUUAACCUCGAAGUAGUUCAAAUAGGAAUUGUAGGAUGAAAUUUAAUAUUUUAUAGUCCAGGAAUGACUAAAAAUGAUUGUUCGGAGUUCGAGGGUUCAUUUGGGGUAAAAUUAGAAAUUUUGAUAUUCAAGGGCAAAAUCGUCAUUUUGCCACCUAAGAUAAUAAUUUGAUCAUGGAGUGAAAUUUUUGACCAAGAUUAACUAUUUGGAGUAUAAUUUAAUGAUAGGAAGUGAAAAAGUUUAAUUCUGGUGAUUUUUGGAGUGUAGGGGCAAAAUCGUAAUUUUGCCACCCACGGACAAAAUUUGAGAUUUUGAGAGAAUUUAGAUCAAAUUUGACAAAUUGGAGAAUGGUAUGAGUAUAAGGGAUGAAAAAUAUGUCUAUGGGCAAUUUUUCAAUUUUUGGGGCAAAAAUGUAAUUUUUGACUUUUACGGGGGCAAAAGUGUAAAUUUCAAAAAUUACUCCACCGAGACUUUGGAUGAGUCUGAGAAUUUUAUCUAAGCUAUGAAUAUAUGAGACAAGUGUAUGGUGAAAAUUUGGAAACAAAUGGAUGAAAUUUUAAAAAUGGGCCAAUGGGAAAGUGACAUGUGGCAUUUUUUAAUGAAAUAAUAUUAUUUUAAUGAAAAGUCAGCCCAUUUAAACCCAAAUUUUGAGUGCUGGCCGGCCAUAAGGAAGAACAAGAGAGGAAAUAGAGAGGAAAGGAAGAAAAAAAGAAAAACCAAAGAGAAACAAGAAAAUUCAAAGGGAAAUUCGCGGUUUUCGACCGUUUACGCGUCUAACGGUAAGAUUUUUCGAUUUUAGCUUGAUUUCUACCUUUCCUAUGCCUUUAUUUCCAUUUAGCAUGCUUGAGGAGAGAGAUCAAAAAGUGAUAUCAAGGGCUGGACGAAAUUCUAGGGGAGAGAAAUUGAAAUUUUUAGGUUUUGAUUUUUAGUUAAAUUGAUAGUUUUAGUUAGUUAAAUGUGUUUAGAAAUUAAAUUGGGCAAGAAAUCAUUAAAUUUUCACAAUACCCACUCUUGGCUGGAUGCUCAAUGCUGUACAAUGAUGAUGAAUUGAUUUUAUUCUAAGGAAAAUGAAGAGAAAAUGAUGAAAAACGAUUAAACGUGAUAGAAAAACAAAGUAGAAAAUUAACCGAGUUAAUGUCCCAUUUUUGGCCGAAUUUUCCAAGGAAGGGAGUGAGCUGAUUUUGUUGUUUUUAGAAGGUUAUUGGCUGAUAUUUAAUGGUUAGAAAUGUUGGAGAGAGAAUGGGAUGAUUUAGAGCUAAAAUGGAGCGCGUUAGCAAUUUAUCGGGCAAAGUGCCAAAAAUAGGUUAAUACCGCGUUUAAGCCGUUUUAGGCUAUUGCAUUUCAUACCAUGCAUUAGUAUAGGAUUUAAGUUAAUUAUAUAGUGAUUUAGCAUCAAUGUGAUGAAUUGUGUAAAUUUUUGUAAUGUGUCUAGGAGGAGAGCCUUCCGGAAAAGGCAAAGAAGUCGUACCCGACGAGUAGUGAUCGGGGCGCUUAGAAAGCUUUUAGUUUGUACAAACGGUGAGUAAACUUAUUAUUAUUGUAAAUUAUCUAGAGUUUAUUUUUAAAUGCCCUUUAUGUAUUUUAUGAAAUGAAAACGAGAUUAAAACGGGAUUUUUGAUGUUUUAGGAAUAAAUGUGACAAAUAAAAAUAUAUUGUAUUGAUUAUGAAAUUGAGUAAUUGGAGGCUGCAAAUUGACUUGAAAAAUAUAUAUUUUCCUAGGAAUGGCUUAUGAGAAAUGAGUAUAUGUGGCUAUAUUUUGUGAGUGCAUUGGGAAAUUUAUGUAAGUUGUUUUUACUAUGCAGGCUGGAUAAAUAAAUAAAAGCCACGUUAUACUGUCGAAAUUUUAUUAAAAUUGGUGGGUUAGUCACUGCAGUGACGGGUUUCCGUGGACUGCCUAUUAGAGGGGCACGGUAAACCCAGUUAUAUAGUUACUCCGGUUGUAGAGGCGAGGAGGGUAACUCCUGGGGUAGUAUUAGAGCUCACUUCACGUCGAACCCCCACGUGAAUGUGUAACUCGGCCAACGCCAAGGAACGGCUGGUUUUAAAAAUAAAAAUGUGUUUCACGUGUGAAUAUUUUAACACCCUUGGCGGACUCGGUUAGAUGCCUCGGCCAAGGUAUCCCCGAGGAUUAGUUUUGGCUUGAGCCUUGUUUUAAUAAAAGACAUAAGCCUUAACAACUGUUUUGGUAAAUUACAAAUAUUUUAUGGUUUAAGAAAUAAAUUGAAAACAUUAUGAAAUGGGUUGAAAUUUGUUGUUUAAACUUGCCUCCAUUUUACUCGCCUUUAGAUAUUUAUGAUAAUGUCUGUUUACUCAUUGGGAUUGCAAAAUCUCACCCAACUCCUUUCCACCCAUUUCAGGUUCAGUAUAGACUGUAGAUAGCUGAUCUCAUCGAGGACUACCAUUGGAUCUGCAUUUUCCAAAUCGUAGGUUCACAGUCCUCUUUACUUUUGUUUAUUCGGGGGCUCUCUUGUUAUUGUAAAUUAAAUUAAAUAUUUUGGCUUACUGCAUUUUAGUAUGUAUAAAUUUAUUUAGCUUUUACGCUAUAAAAAUUAUUCAUGUAUAACUCUAUAAAUAUUGUUUUAUAAGAAAAUAGAAUAUUUUCCUUAAUAUUUUUUUUAUUUUCUUAUUAUAUUCAAAUAACCGUAAUUUUGUUUUAAAUGAAGAUUUUAGACUUUUAAACUCAUUUUUAAUAUGAAUUUUGUGUUUUGUACUUGUAUAUUACAUUUUAGCCAAUUUCGAAAUUUUUGAGAAAAAAAUGACCAAAAUACUCCUAUGUGGCGAAAAUUUUAUUUUGAUUGUUUUUUAUCUAAAAUAGUGUAUAUUAUCUAAAAACUUGAUAUUUAACAACGAUUGCUCACAGGAAAGGAAAGAAACUGAUAUGUAAGCCUUGCGGGGUUCCGGUUGGCAUUCCAGAUAAUGAGUGUCAAUCAGGGACGUUGCGGCGAUUGUCAUGGGCCUGAGGGAGGUUCCGGGUCGUGACAUUAUUUCUAUUCCCUUACCAGUAGUAGUAUCAUUUAAUCAACCCGUGUCACCCUCGUUCUCUAAACAUUUGAAACACAAUUCAACCUUUGCUUACCCUUACCAAGCACAUUACCUUGAUAAUUACUCAAAAUAAAUUGGAACUUGUGAGGGAAGCACAUUUAACAAUUUAUGCCUUACGUCUAUAAUUAUAUCAAGACCAGAACCUCAUCAAGUCCACAAAACAGUAGGAUAAUCAUUGCCUCAAACCAGCAUUUCCAAGUAUACUUAUGCUUGUAUCAUAUCUUCAUACUUAUGUGACAUAUCAGUCACGAGCCCAACUUGACUAUAUAGCCAUUUGCUCUUUGAGCUUUAAUGUUGUCUCACUGUGAAAAAUCUUUCGAAUUUAUCUCAUCAGUGUAUUCACAAGGUGGAUACAUGUCCAUAACUUACAGCUCAAGGCCUAAAGCAUUGAACACAAUCUCAUCAUUGAUGUUUUACGCUAUAUCAUAAAAUACAAAAUGUAAUCUAAUAACUAUGACAGUGAAAUUCUAAAGUUCUAGCUUUAUCUACCAAUCAUAGCUCCCUUUUUUAGCACAUACUUUACACUGCUUGAUUGUUCACAAGCCACUGAUAGCCAUCCAAAUUUGACCUCUUAUAGCAAGUCAAACUAGUAUAUUAUUCUUAUGUUUUCCAAUACACUUCCAAAAUGCUUAAACACUUCCUUUAAUAGGGUUCCAUUGAGAACUUAAUCAAUCAAAGACUUAUCUUCAAAGCCACUCAUAACUUUAAUCGUUCAUUGUAUGCUUGAUAACACUUUAGCUCACUGACCCACUGAACAUUAUUUUAAAAUCUCCCAAGGUGUCUGUACUCUUAGUUCGGAUCAUACCAUUUAACUUAGUAUAAUUGCAUUAAUUAUCCUUAAGCUCUUUAUGCUCAGCAUAUCAACAUCCAUAUUUCCCCCUCAUUCAUGUUAUUGACCUUGUUAAGGUAUAUAUGUGGCUUUUCAACCUUUCACAAUACAUUCCACAUUUAUGCCAGGGCAUUCUCAAUCUCAUGCCAAGCCUAUAGUCAUGUAAUCACCAAUUAGGCCAAAUCCUUCUAUGGAAUAUCUCUUUCCACACGAUGAAUGCGAAUCACAAGAUAUACAACUUUGAGUGUAUGCUUACAUAUUGGUAACCUCCAUAUAUUUCAUGGUCAUAAAACCACAAUUUGCAAAACUAGCUUCCUAUCACAAGUUUGCGAUUGGAACAAUAGUCUCCACAUAUCUCACUUUGGACAUACUUCACUAUUAACAUUCAUAUACCUUUACCACAACAUUCAGUGCAAAUUGAUUAAGCAAUGAUCUCCAAAUUUACUCUUAGAUACACAUAUAUCAAAUUGUACACCACUUAGUGUUGAGAUCUUGACUUUACUCAUCAACUUUUAACCAAUUACAUCCAUAAGAUAAAUAAUUCACUAAAUUUUUAUAUUUUGCUUUUGCAGUCAUAAGAUCAAAAUUUCUUAAGCUUAUGAUGCAGAAGCUUCCUCUUAGAGUAUAUCCGAAAAUCCACAUGUUUUAAGUCCCUUACCCUUGGAGAAGUCACCUUCAAGACUAAUCAUUUACAUCAUAGGUUGCAUAUUGAACCAAACAUAUUUUUAAAUUGACCUUUAAAGCAAUUCGUAUAUCGAUCUUCAUAUAGAACUCCAUAUGGCACUUCUACUAAAUUUGUCAUUUCCAUGUCAUUUAAUUUCAAACUACUAAAUCCACAUCUAGUCCUUUAAUCCUUUGACCUCACGCAUAGCAUAACAAAGUUUAUGCUCUUCCUUAGAGAAGAUUUGUUUACAUACCUCUCACUUGAUGACCACACAUCAAUUAUAAUAGUCAGUGAAUUUCACCCUUAAGCUAAUUCAUGUACUUAUAACUAUAAACCAUAAUAUUUCAAAUCAAACCUUGGGAUCUUGCAAUUACUUAAUUGAAAUCAAAACCAACUCCUUUUAUAUAUGGCAUAACAAGCUCGAUUAACCUAGUGCACUUACUUCUGUGCACAUAAGUAUUGGCUUACUCUUACUGUCACGACCUGAUUUUCAAGCCGUGACCGACGCAUGGACUCAAUGGACAUAGUCCAUUUAGCCCAAGCAAGCCUAUCUAUAUUAUCCUACUCAUUAUUCCAUCAAAGUUACUAAAGUCACAUUUCGUAAUUUUGAACCAAAAUAAUGCUAACCAUUUUCGACUCUCAGUGACAUGCCAAUCCAAAUAUACAUACAUUGUCUAAAAUAUAUGUCUUAACAAUUUACAUCAGGUUCGACCAUACAUAUCAAAAAGAAGACUAGAUUUUCAGUAGAGAGACUCAGAUGAAUGUACAACUAUUGAAUGCCAAGACACCUACCAACAGUCGAAUAUACAAAGACACCUCGACCUAGUUACCAGCUGCCUCUUGAUCUGAAAACAUGAAGUUGAAAACGAUGAGUAUAAACCCAGUGAGUGAACAUAUGAAGGGAACAAGCAAUAUAAUAAGAAAAAGUUUGAAAUCAUAAUGCACUUAUUUGAAAACGAUGCACUUUAACUUAAGUCCUUAUUAAACGUCACGACCCAGAACCAUCCUUGAGUCCGUGACAAUCGCCGCGAUGUCUCGAUAGGCACUCAUCCCUCGAAUACCAUAUCGAGACGUCGCAAGGCUUUCGUAUCAAUUUCUUAUCUCCCCUAUGGUUAAUCGUUGCCAAAUGUCGUCUUUUAGAGGCUUUAAAGCUUUUUUCCGAUUUAAAACUGUGAAAAAAUAAAUUUCACUUCACCGGGGCAUUUUGGUCAUUUUUCAUCAAAAAUUUCAAAUUCGACCAAAAUGUAGUACUUAAGCGAGAAAUGCAUAUUUCGAAAUCGAAAUUAAAUUUGAAUGUCUAAAACGUGAUUUAAAAUGGAAUUAUAACCAUUUAAAUAAAAUAAAAAUAUUCGACAAAAUAUUCUAUUUUCUUACAAAUUAAUAUUUAUAGAGUAUUCUGAAAAUGAUUUUUAGUAGCGUAAAAGUUAAAUAUAUUUAUACAAACUAUAAUACGGAAAACCAAAGUAUGAAAUUUAAUUUACAGUGCUACGUGGGCCCACAAAUGAACAAAAGUAGUAAAGACAGUAAACCUACAGUUUUUGAAGUAGUAUGGCCAACUAUAGUUCUCGACGAUGUCUGCUAUCUACAGGCUAACCCGACCUGAAAUGAUGGGAUAAAAAAAAGGGUGAGAUUAUAAAAUCUCAAUGAGUAAACAAACACCAUUUAAAUAAUCUAAAGGCGAGUAAAGAGAGACAAUUAAAAAUAAUUCAUUUCAGCAAAUUUUUCACAACACGAAUAUUCAUUUCAACCAAAUAAUCAAUAUGACUCGUGAAUUUCUCAAAACUUGGCUCAUGCCAAAUCCUGUACUCGGGGACACCUGGACCAGGGGUAUCCAACCAAGUCCGCCAAGGUUGUAAAAAAUUUUAUAUAAUCAUAAAACUUGUUUUUAUUUUGAAAAAAACAGUCAUUCCUUGGCGUUGACUAGGUCUCACUUCACGUGGUGGUUAACGUGAAGUGCACUCAAAAAGCCCACCUUAGGAGAUACCCUACGCACCUCUACGACCGAGGUGAGAAUAUAUUGGGGUUCACCGUGCCCCUCUAAUAGGUUAGUCCACGAAACCCCGCCACUACAGUAGCUAAUCUUUAAUCCACCAAUUGAUCAAAUUUCAAUGGCAUAACAUGGCAAUUACAUUACUAACCAAUUUAUCAAGGCAAAACAGACAGUUCAUAUUUUUCAACACAAGUAUAAAUUCAGCCAAUCAUGCCAAUUUAUCACAAGCCAUUUAAUUCAAAUCAUAAUUUACAAUAAAUCACAUGGUCUCCAAUUACUCAAAUUUUCAAAUCCAACAUUCUAUUUUCAAAUCAAUUUAUAAAAAAUUCAAUUUAUUUUAUAAUUCCAUUUAUUUUAUAAAUUCAUAUUUUUCUCAUAAAACAAGAAAUUCAUCAUUUAAAAUAAUUUUCACAAAUCACAAAAUUGAAUAAAAACUACUCUAGAUAAUUCAGACGAUAAUAGGUUUACUCACAGGUUUCAAAAGUUCAGAUUUCGGGUGUACUUAGCUUAGUGAUCCCCAGGCGUAAUUUCCUUGCCUUUGUCGAAGGGCACACCACCUUGACACAGUAUAAAAUCAAGGAAUUUACUACGUUGCCCUUAAAUUGAAAUAACUAAUUUAGAUCACUAAUGCAUGGUAUGAAAUGCAAAAGGUCUAAAUUUUGCCUAAACACCGUAUUGACCUAUUUCGGUCUUUUACCCGAUAAAUUGAAAUACGCAUCUAAUUUAGCUCCAAUUGAUCCCAUUUCUUUUUCUAAUGCUUCAAAUCACCAAUGUCCAGCCAAAUAACCCAAAAAUCAGCAAAGCCACAUUCAUAUUCCUUCUUGGAAAAAUUCAGCCAAAAUGGUGCAUCAUUGUCACAAUUUUUCCUACUUGAUUUUCUUUCCAUAAUUCAUUAAUUUCCAUAUCAAAAACCAUGAUUUCAUAAUCAAAUAACCUAAAAUAACAUCACAUUCUUCCUCACCAUUGACUUGAAAAUUCAGCUAAGGCUAGGUAAUGGGAAAAAUGAAUGUUUUUCUACAUAUUUUGUUUACUAACAUGCUAAACUAACACUAAACACUAACAUAUAUCAAAAUCAAAUCAAUCCAACAAUUUUCUCUCUCUAGACCCAUAUGACCAGCCAUGAAAUCACCAUGAAAACAUGCAAUUUAAUCAUGGAAAAUAAGGAGAAAUGCUUGGGAAUAAGAAAACUCAAGCUUAAUUGAAAAAAUCUUACCUUUUUCACGUAAUUUCCUUGAAAAUUCAUACUUUUUCUUUGAUUUUCUCUCUCUAAGGUUUGGUUUUUGUUUUCUCUCUCUUCUUGCUGGUUUGGCC
Molecule: long non-coding RNA, 12478 nt
Filed under: Theobroma cacao (cacao)
Lineage: Eukaryota; Viridiplantae; Streptophyta; Magnoliopsida; Malvales; Malvaceae
Description: long non-coding RNA (TCAC_LNC003782)
Source: RNAcentral